ACUGGCGGACGGGUGAGUAACGCGUAGGUAAUCUGCCCCUUUCACUGACAAAACGUUGAGAAAUCGGCGCUAAUAUCAGAUAUGCACUUCGGUGUGAAAGACUUCGGUUGGGAAGGGAUGAGCCUGCGUCUGAUUAGCUAGUUGGCGGAGUAAAAGCCCACCAAGGCGACGAUCAGUAGCUGGUCUGAGAGGAUGGUCAGCCACACUGGAACUGAGACACGGUCCAGACUCCUACGGGAGGCAGCAGUGAGGAAUCUUGGUCAAUGGGGGAAACCCUGAACCAGCGACGCCGCGUGUAGGAUGACGGGGCUUUGCCCUGUAAACUACUGUCAGGAGGGAAGAAAAGCGUCCACAGGGCGCCGGGACAGUACCUCCAGAGGAAGGACCGGCUAACUACGUGCCAGCAGCCGCGGUAAUACGUAGGGUCCAAGCGUUGUCCGGAAUUACUGGGUGUAAAGGGUGUGCAGGCGGGCCUGUGCGUCAGGGGUUAAAUACUUCGGCUUAACCGAAGAACAGCCCUUGAUACGGCAGGUCUUGAGUACGAGAGAGGAUAGUAGAAUUCCUGGUGUAGCGGUGAAAUGCGUAGAUAUCAGGAGGAAUACCAGUGGCGAAGGCGGCUAUCUGGCUCGUUACUGACGCUCAGGCACGAAAGCGUGGGGAGCAAACAGGAUUAGAUACCCU
This 681-nucleotide ribosomal RNA is filed under the name uncultured bacterium. RNAcentral describes it as "bacterial SSU rRNA". It matches the Rfam family "Bacterial small subunit ribosomal RNA", at positions 94 to 788 of the family's 1533-position model. The record is from RNAcentral.